GACAUCCGGACAGACACCAGUACCGAGCUCUAGCGGAGUUCGCCUACAAGGACCAAAAGAGUCAGGAUACUCAAGGCUUAACCUUUCUCGUAACGCAAGCCAGAUGGAGGAUUGUGCAAGGAACGGAGCAUAACAUUGCAUUCAUUGUCUUCCUCCAAAAUGCGAUGCUGGAGAAAUGUAUCAGCGUAGUUGUGGUGCCCCCAUUGAAUAGACUUGCAAGGAGAAGGACCGUCACUAAGUUUUGGUGCAAACCAGUGGCAUAGCCAAAAAUGUCUUUCAUAGUGUGUGUGUAGGUGGGGGAUGCUCUUCUGGUGCUUCGACAGAAGGAGGAUGGCAUCGCAGAAGCCGUAACUCUUACAUCUCCCCGUGACCAAUACAGAUGUUCGGCCUUGUCUGUGUGACAUAAUGCCUCGAAAAGAGAAGGACAACAGGAGGCACACAUAUUGUGUUAUUCCUAUUACCUUUGUCCUUUCAAGCACUUCGCAGUUACUGUGUCCUCCCCAUGAUCCAUCAAUUCCAAUCGGUCAUCUUCACGGAAUCUCUC
This is a long non-coding RNA of Rhipicephalus sanguineus (brown dog tick), 544 nucleotides long. RefSeq lists it as uncharacterized. The record is from RefSeq and is a predicted model, not a curated record. NCBI's taxonomy places the organism in Eukaryota, Metazoa, Arthropoda, Arachnida, Ixodida, Ixodidae. The transcript has 3 exons.